This 1440-nucleotide ribosomal RNA is filed under the name uncultured organism. RNAcentral describes it as "SSU rRNA". It matches the Rfam family "Bacterial small subunit ribosomal RNA". The record is from RNAcentral.
AACGCUAGCUACAGGCUUAACACAUGCAAGUCGAGGGGCAUCAGGAAGAAAGCUUGCUUUCUUUGCUGGCGACCGGCGCACGGGUGAGUAACACGUAUCCAACCUGCCCUUUACUCGGGGAUAGCCUUUCGAAAGAAAGAUUAAUACCCGAUAGCAUAAUGAUUCCGCAUGGUUUCAUUAUUAAAGGAUUCCGGUAAAGGAUGGGGAUGCGUUCCAUUAGGUUGUUGGUGAGGUAACGGCCCACCAAGCCUUCGAUGGAUAGGGGUUCUGAGAGGAAGGUCCCCCACAUUGGAACUGAGACACGGUCCAAACUCCUACGGGAGGCAGCAGUGAGGAAUAUUGGUCAAUGGGCGCUAGCCUGAACCAGCCAAGUAGCGUGAAGGAUGAAGGCUCUAUGGGUCGUAAACUUCUUUUAUAUAAGAAUAAAGUGCAGUAUGUAUACUGUUUUGUAUGUAUUAUAUGAAUAAGGAUCGGCUAACUCCGUGCCAGCAGCCGCGGUAAUACGGAGGAUCCGAGCGUUAUCCGGAUUUAUUGGGUUUAAAGGGAGCGUAGGUGGACUGGUAAGUCAGUUGUGAAAGUUUGCGGCUCAACCGUAAAAUUGCAGUUGAUACUGUCAGUCUUGAGUACAGUAGAGGUGGGCGGAAUUCGUGGUGUAGCGGUGAAAUGCUUAGAUAUCACGAAGAACUCCGAUUGCGAAGGCAGCUCACUGGACUGCAACUGACACUGAUGCUCGAAAGUGUGGGUAUCAAACAGGAUUAGAUACCCUGGUAGUCCACACAGUAAACGAUGAAUACUCGCUGUUUGCGAUAUACAGUAAGCGGCCAAGCGAAAGCAUUAAGUAUUCCACCUGGGGAGUACGCCGGCAACGGUGAAACUCAAAGGAAUUGACGGGGGCCCGCACAAGCGGAGGAACAUGUGGUUUAAUUCGAUGAUACGCGAGGAACCUUACCCGGGCUUAAAUUGCAGUGGAAUGAUGUGGAAACAUGUCAGUGAGCAAUCACCGCUGUGAAGGUGCUGCAUGGUUGUCGUCAGCUCGUGCCGUGAGGUGUCGGCUUAAGUGCCAUAACGAGCGCAACCCUUAUCUUUAGUUACUAACAGGUUAUGCUGAGGACUCUAGAGAGACUGCCGUCGUAAGAUGUGAGGAAGGUGGGGAUGACGUCAAAUCAGCACGGCCCUUACGUCCGGGGCUACACACGUGUUACAAUGGGGGGUACAGAAGGCAGCUAGCGGGUGACCGUAUGCUAAUCCCAAAAUCCUCUCUCAGUUCGGAUCGAAGUCUGCAACCCGACUUCGUGAAGCUGGAUUCGCUAGUAAUCGCGCAUCAGCCACGGCGCGGUGAAUACGUUCCCGGGCCUUGUACACACCGCCCGCCAAGCCAUGGGAGCCGGGGGUACCUGAAGUACGUAACCGCAAGGAUCGUCCUAGGGUAAAACUGGUGAA